AUGGCGUUGCUAGGCGCCACCCUCGGCCGGCCACCAUUGUCGUGUCCCUCCACCCCCAGCUCGCUGCCAUUCAGGCCUAACUGCUUCCAGUUCCCUCGUCCGUGCCACACAGGCGUGGUGGCACACCGGCGCAGAGCGUACCCAAGGAUCGAGGCCACGGCGAGGCACGGCGCGCGGAAGGAGAACGCCAAGGUCAGAAACCGCCGGCUGCAGAAAAAGUACAAUGGCACGGCGACCAAGCCCAGGCUGUCAGUCUUCUGCUCCAACAGGCAGCUCUACGCCAUGCUCGUCGACGACCACGGCAAGAAGAUCCUCUUCUACGCCAGCACCCUGCAGGAAGACAUCUGCGGCGACCCUCCAUGCAGCACCGUGGAGGCCUCUCGGAGGGUCGGGGAGGAGCUGGUCAAGGCGUGCAAGGAGCUGGACAUCUCCGAGGUCUCGUGCUACGACCGCAACGGCUUCGCUCGAGGGGAGAAGAUGAUGGCGUUCGAGGAUCCGGUCGCGCAGCACGGGUUCCUGCCCAGAUAG
Molecule: ribosomal RNA, 528 nt
Filed under: Triticum aestivum (bread wheat)
Lineage: Eukaryota; Viridiplantae; Streptophyta; Magnoliopsida; Poales; Poaceae
Description: partial small subunit ribosomal RNA
Source: RNAcentral